This 451-nucleotide ribosomal RNA is filed under the name uncultured Thiobacillus sp. RNAcentral describes it as "bacterial SSU rRNA". It matches the Rfam family "Bacterial small subunit ribosomal RNA", at positions 924 to 1382 of the family's 1533-position model. Lineage: Bacteria; Pseudomonadati; Pseudomonadota; Betaproteobacteria; Nitrosomonadales; Thiobacillaceae. The record is from RNAcentral.
CACAAGCGGUGGAUGAUGUGGAUUAAUUCGAUGCAACGCGAAAACCUUACCUACCCUUGACAUGUCCGGAAUCCUGCAGAGAUGCGGGAGUGCCGAAAGGGAAUCGGAACACAGGUGCUGCAUGGCUGUCGUCAGCUCGUGUCGUGAGAUGUUGGGUUAAGUCCCGCAACGAGCGCAACCCUUAUCAUUAGUUGCUACGCAAGGGCACUCUAAUGAGACUGCCGGUGACAAACCGGAGGAAGUGGGGAUGACGUCAAGUCCUCAUGGCCCUUAUGGGUAGGGCUUCACACGUCAUACAAUGGUCGGUACAGAGGGUUGCCAAGCCGCGAGGUGGAGCCAAUCCCAGAAAGCCGAUCGUAGUCCGGAUUGUUCUCUGCAACUCGAGAGCAUGAAGUCGGAAUCGCUAGUAAUCGCGGAUCAGCAUGUCGCGGUGAAUACGUUCCCGGGUCUU